Molecule: microRNA, 22 nt
Filed under: Callithrix jacchus (white-tufted-ear marmoset)
Lineage: Eukaryota; Metazoa; Chordata; Mammalia; Primates; Cebidae
Also listed under: 6 other names
Source: RNAcentral
AGAGGUUAUCCGUGUUAUGUUC